UUUCCGUAGGUGAACCUGCGGAAGGAUCAUUAUUGAAUUCCAAUUGGAUGAGAUAGCUGCUGGCUUUCGGGCAUGUGCGCAUCUCGUUCAUUUGCCUCUCACCUCUGUGCACUUUUCAUGGAACAAUCGGUGGCUGUUGGCUUCACGGCCGACGACCGCAGGUUGCUUCUGUGUGCCUCAUAAACUUCAGAAUCAGUUUAGAAUGUAUACCGUGUACCUACACAUUUAAAUACAACUUUCAGCAACGGAUCUCUUGGCUCUCGCAUCGAUGAGGAACGCAGC
Molecule: unclassified non-coding RNA, 282 nt
Filed under: plant metagenome
Description: partial contains small subunit ribosomal RNA, internal transcribed spacer 1, and 5.8S ribosomal RNA
Rfam family: 5.8S ribosomal RNA (bases 234-282)
Source: RNAcentral